RNAcentral lists this long non-coding RNA (556 nucleotides) under Equus asinus (donkey). Its description in RNAcentral is "lncRNA (ENSEASG00005032725.1)". The record is from RNAcentral. Lineage: Eukaryota; Metazoa; Chordata; Mammalia; Perissodactyla; Equidae.
AUUUUGCAUAGUACACUGAUUACUGGCUUCUUUGGAAUAGUCGGAAUAUUUGAAAAUGAAGGGUCCAUGUUCCAUCACGGCAACAAUUUGCUGAAGAUAUUUGAAUCUGUGGCUCCUGGAGCUAUCAAGGGAAGCUCAUAAAAUGGAGAUGACCAGGUAGACAAAGUGAAGAAGAAGCUCCAGAAAGAAAGAACACCAUUGUAAAAGGUACUGGUUGAAUGGUGACCUGCAAAAGAUAUGUCCAUGUUCUAACCCCUGGAACCUGAGAAUGGGACCUUAUUUGGAAAAGGAAUCUUUGCAGAUGUGAUGAAGGAUCUCCAGAUGCUGUCACCCUGGAUUAUCCAGGUGAGCCUUAAAUCUAAUGACAAGUGCCAUAAGAGGCAGAAGAGGAGGAGACAGGCAGAAGAGAAGGCCAUGCGAAGGUGGAGGCAGAAACUGGAGUCAUGCAGCCACGGGCCAAGGAACCCUGGAGCUCCCAGAAGCUGGAAGAGGCGAAGAGGAAUAAUCCCCUGGAGCCUUCAGAGGGAGUGCAGUCCUGCUGACAUCUUGAUUUUGG